RNAcentral lists this unclassified non-coding RNA (253 nucleotides) under uncultured Planctomycetota bacterium. RNAcentral describes it as "uncultured planctomycete contains 16S-23S intergenic spacer region". It matches the Rfam family "Bacterial small subunit ribosomal RNA", at positions 524 to 776 of the family's 1533-position model. The record is from RNAcentral. Lineage: Bacteria; Pseudomonadati; Planctomycetota.
UACGAAGGGAGCGAGCGUUGUUCGGAAUCACUGGGCAUAAAGAGCACGUAGGCGGCCUCGUCAGUCAGUUGUGAAAUCCUCCGGCUUAACCGGAGAACUGCAUCUGAUACUGCGAGGCUAGAGUGCGGGAGGGGAGAGUGGAACUCCUGGUGGAGCGGUGAAAUGCGUAGAUAUCAGGAGGAACGCCCGUGGCGAAAGCGACUCUCUGGACCGCCACUGACGCUGAGGUGCGAAAGCUAGGGUAGCAAACAGG